Molecule: ribosomal RNA, 397 nt
Filed under: uncultured bacterium
Lineage: Bacteria
Description: partial 16S ribosomal RNA
Rfam family: Bacterial small subunit ribosomal RNA
Source: RNAcentral
AUACGUAGGGGGCGAGUGUUGUCCGGAAUGAUUGGGCGUAAAGGGCGCGUAGGCGGCCCGGUAAGUCUGGAGUGAAAGUCCUGUUUUUAAGAUGGGAAUUGCUUUGGAUACUGUCGGGCUUGAGUGCAGGAGAGGUAAGUGGAAUUCCCAGUGCAGCGGUGAAAUGCGUAGAGAUUGGGAGGAACACCAGUGGCGAAGGCGACUUACUGGACUGUAACUGACGCUGAGGCGCGAAAGUGUGGGGAGCAAACAGGAUUAGAUACCCUGGUAGUCCACACUGUAAACGAUGAAUGCUAGGUGUAGGGGGUAUCGACCCCUUCUGUGCCGCAGUCAACACAAUAAGCAUUCCGCCUGGGGAGUACGGCCGCAAGGUUGAAACUCAAAUGAAUUGACGGGG